CUGGGAUCCCGGCUGGCGCGCCCCCUUUCUGCAGGUGUCUAAGGUCUCAGCCGUCAGGCCGCCAGGAUGCCUUCGAAUUCACCUUCCCGAGGGUCCAGGAAGCCAGACUUUUCUAUCUGCGGCCAAGGCAGAGUCUGUGUUAGGGGCUGAGUUGCAUCCUCCUAAAAUUCAUGAAGCCCUUACCCCAGGACCUCAGAAUGAGGCUGUAUUUGGAGAUGGGGUGUUUAAAGAAGGGUUCACGGUAAGUGAGGUCGUAGGGCAGACCCUGAUCCCUUAUAGGACUGGUGUCCUUAUAAGAGGAGAUGAGGACACAGACAUGCACAGAGGGACGACCCCGUGAGGACGCAGGGAGAGGACGGUGUCCACAUGCCCAGGAGGGAGGCUCAGGAGGCCCAGCCCUGCCCACACCUGGACCUUGGGGUCCAGCCUGUGGGACGGGGGACAUAAAUAGGUGUUGUGUGACACCCCCCGUUCUGUGGUCCUUUUUACAGCAGCUGAGCUGACUCACUCCGUCUGGGACUGGGCAUGUGCGUGCACACUUUUCUUUUGGAAAGACAGUUGGGCCAAAAUAGCCCCAGACAUUUUUGAAACGUGAGUUAUUCAGUACGCAUAUAGCUGCUGCUAUGACAGAGCGAGGCCUGCUACGGGGGAGGAAUCGUGUCAAGCUGGUCGAGACACAUGGAAGCCGAUGGAUAUUAAGAAAACCUACGUGAAAGGUUAGCGACAGACUGGAUCAUGGGUAUGUGUGCACGUGAGAGUGUGAGUCGGGAUGUGAGCAUGAACGAGUUGCACUUGCGGGAUGACAAACGCCUCACUUCACGUCAUGGACAGAAGCAGGGAAGCCAGGGAAAAUCCCGUGGACAACGCCUAGGAUGCAGGGAACCUUCCCUCCCGGAUGAUGCUGUGAUGGACAGCUGGGACGAGGUAGCAGGUUGCUGAGUGAUGGGACGACACUGCCAAGGGUGAACUUGUGCUGAGAAAUACAUGUUCAUGGACAUGGACCGUAACUGCACAGAGAGGUCAGUGCAGCUUUGUGGGGAACUCAGGGGCUCCCGUGUAUUUUUCUUCUAUCUUUAGAAAAGGUUCUCAGGAUCUAGUGUCUCUGAUUUUAAUCAUAAAUAUCGAUGGCAGAUUUUUGCAGAUGCCUUGGACUUAGAGUGGCUGUAAAGUGCAGAUCUUAACUCUCUGACUUGACGAAUGUUGUCCAUCGAAGUAGCAAAUUGAGACCUCCAAGGUUUUACUUGGUCAGUUACCAUGAAAAAAUAACAUGUAUAUAUAUAUAUAUGUGCUGUGUGUACACGCGUAUUAUUUCACUUCCAAAUAUGUGUACUCAUACAGACAUAA
Molecule: long non-coding RNA, 1344 nt
Organism: Manis pentadactyla (Chinese pangolin)
Lineage: Eukaryota; Metazoa; Chordata; Mammalia; Pholidota; Manidae
Exons: 4
Source: RefSeq, a predicted model, not a curated record